RNAcentral lists this ribosomal RNA (656 nucleotides) under uncultured bacterium. RNAcentral describes it as "bacterial SSU rRNA". The stretch from base 1 to 544 matches the Rfam family "Bacterial small subunit ribosomal RNA", at positions 338 to 873 of the family's 1533-position model. The record is from RNAcentral.
CCUACGGGAGGCAGCAGUGGGGAAUAUUGCGCAAUGGGGGAAACCCUGACGCAGCAACGCCGCGUGAGUGAGGAAGGACUUCGGUCUGUAAAGCUCUGUUAAUGAGGAAAAAUGGCAUCGGGUCUAAUAGGCCUGGUGUUUGAUGGUACUCAUAGAGGAAGCACCGGCUAACUUCGUGCCAGCAGCCGCGGUAAUACGAAGGGUGCAAGCGUUGUUCGGAUUUAUUGGGCGUAAAGCGCGCGUAGGCGGACCUGCAAGUAAGAUGUGAAAUCUCGAGGCUCAACCUCGAAACUGCGUCUUAAACUACAGGUCUAGAAUCUCGGAGGGGGAAGGGGAAUGUCGCAUGUAGGGGUAAAAUCCGUAGAUAUGCGACGGAACACCAGAGGCGAAGGCGCCUUCCUGGACGAGUAUUGACGCUGAGGCGCGAAAGCGUGGGGAUCAAACAGGAUUAGAUACCCUGGUAGUCCACGCUGUAAACGAUGAACACUAGGUAUUGGAGGAUUUGACCCCUUCAGUGCCGCNGCGACGACGUAGUAGUUCCGUCCGUCGGAGGUACGGUCGGUCGAAGAACGUUAAAACUUAAAAUUAAGUUAAGUUAGUUACGGCGUUGAGGACGUUAGCCGAACGGACGACGACGAACGGGGAAGGUUAGGGAG